This 372-nucleotide ribosomal RNA is filed under the name uncultured organism. RNAcentral's name for it is "bacterial SSU rRNA". It matches the Rfam family "Bacterial small subunit ribosomal RNA", at positions 526 to 896 of the family's 1533-position model. The record is from RNAcentral.
CGUAGGGUGCGAGCGUUAAUCGGAAUUACUGGGCGUAAAGUGUGCGCAGGCGGCCGCGCAAGUCGAGUGUGAAAGCCCCGGGCUUAACUUGGGAAUUGCGCUCGAAACUACGUGGCUGGAGUGUGGCAGAGGAAGGUGGAAUUCCACGUGUAGCGGUGAAAUGCGUAGAGAUGUGGAGGAACACCGAUGGCGAAGGCAGCCUUCUGGGCCAACACUGACGCUCAUGCACGAAAGCGUGGGGAGCAAACAGGAUUAGAUACCCUGGUAGUCCACGCCCUAAACGAUGAUGACUAGUUGUUGGAGGAGUUAAAUCCUUUAGUAACGCAGCUAACGCGUGAAGUCAUCCGCCUGGGGAGUACGGUCGCGAGAUUA